RNAcentral lists this ribosomal RNA (466 nucleotides) under uncultured bacterium. RNAcentral describes it as "partial 16S ribosomal RNA". It matches the Rfam family "Bacterial small subunit ribosomal RNA", at positions 30 to 507 of the family's 1533-position model. The record is from RNAcentral.
CGAACGCUGGCGGCGUGCUUACCACAUGCAAGUCGAACGGAAAGGCCCUGCUUUUGUGGGGUGCUCGAGUGGCGAACGGGUGAGUAACACGUGAGUAACCUGCCCUUGACUUUGGGAUAACUUCAGGAAACUGGGGCUAAUACCGGAUAGGAGCUCCUGCUGCAUGGUGGGGGUUGGAAAGUUUCGGCGGUUGGGGAUGGACUCGCGGCUUAUCAGCUUGUUGGUGGGGUAGUGGCUUACCAAGGCUUUGACGGGUAGCCGGCCUGAGAGGGUGACCGGCCACAUUGGGACUGAGAUACGGCCCAGACUCCUACGGGAGGCAGCAGUGGGGAAUAUUGCACAAUGGGCGGAAGCCUGAUGCAGCAACGCCGCGUGCGGGAUGACGGCCUUCGGGUUGUAAACCGCUUUCGCCUGUGACGAAGCGUGAGUGACGGUAAUGGGUAAAGAAGCACCGGCUAACUACGUG